Molecule: long non-coding RNA, 213 nt
Organism: Cucumis sativus (cucumber)
Lineage: Eukaryota; Viridiplantae; Streptophyta; Magnoliopsida; Cucurbitales; Cucurbitaceae
Exons: 3
Source: RefSeq, a predicted model, not a curated record
CACUCUAGGCUUCAGGAAGCAGAAGCGAAAGCUGCUGCUGCUGAAGAAAGAGAGCGAUCUAUAAAUGAACGCUUGUCCCAAACCUUAUCUAGAAUUAAUGUUCUGGAGGCGCAGGUUUCAUGCCUUAGAGCAGAGCAGACUCAAUUAAGCAAAACCCUUGAGAAGGAGAGGCAGAGAGCAGCUGAAAUCAGGCAGGAGUAUCUGGCAGCAAAA